AAUGAACGUUGGCGGCGUGGAUUAGGCAUGCAAGUCGAGCGAGAAAGGUUUUGAAGCUUGCUUUAGAACCUGGACAGCGGCGAAAGGGAGAGUAACGCGUAGUUACGUGCCCCAGGGUUCGGAAUAGCCACGGGAAACUGUGGGUAAUGCCGAAUAACAUCUCCGGAUCAAAGGUGUGAUUCCGCCCUGGGAGCGGACUGCGUCCUACUAGCUUGUUGGCGGGGUAAUGGCCCACCAAGGCAACAAUGGGUAGCGGGUGUGAGAGCAUGACCCGUCUCACUGGGACUGAGACACUGCCCAGACACCUACGGGUGGCUG
Molecule: ribosomal RNA, 318 nt
Filed under: uncultured Planctomycetota bacterium
Lineage: Bacteria; Pseudomonadati; Planctomycetota
Description: bacterial SSU rRNA
Rfam family: Bacterial small subunit ribosomal RNA
Source: RNAcentral